UACGAAGGUCCCGAGCGUUAUUCGGAAUCACUGGGCGUAAAGGGAGCGUAGGCUGCGCGGUAAGUCAGAUGUGAAAUCUCAGAGCUCAACUCUGAAACUGCAUCCGAUACUGCCGCGCUAGAGUAAUGGAGGGGUAACUGGAAUUCUCAGUGUAGCAGUGAAAUGCGUAGAUAUUGAGAGGAAGACCAACGGCGAAGGCAGGUUACUGGACAUUUACUGACGCUGAGGCUCGAAGGCUAGGGUAGCGAAAGGGAUUAGAUACCCCUGUAGUCC
RNAcentral lists this ribosomal RNA (273 nucleotides) under uncultured bacterium. Its description in RNAcentral is "partial 16S ribosomal RNA". It matches the Rfam family "Bacterial small subunit ribosomal RNA", at positions 524 to 796 of the family's 1533-position model. The record is from RNAcentral.